Molecule: long non-coding RNA, 460 nt
Filed under: Homo sapiens (human)
Lineage: Eukaryota; Metazoa; Chordata; Mammalia; Primates; Hominidae
Description: HSALNT0072306
Source: RNAcentral
CCCGAGCAGUGCACACUGCACCUAAUUUGUAGUCUUUUAUCUCUCACCCUUUUUUUUUCUUUUCAAACUUUUGCAAAAGGUGUCCUAGUUCUUGGCAAUGUUUCCCCUGGGCUCUGGUUACAUCAUUAACAGUUGAAUCACAACUAUACCCAGACAGUCACCUGGGAGAGAACUGGGAACUUCAUCUGGUUUGGCGACCACUCCCUCCUCCGGCGGCAGGUAUCUAGCAGCAGGAUAACUGAUAUCGUAAAGGGGACCCUUUGUCAGCUGUGACAUAAACCAGUCUAUUUCCAGCCUGAGCCAUCUAUGCUGCCUCCUUAAGAGUGAAGCCUGCCUACACUUUGAGAAGCUGAAUACAAACUGAAGAUGGAGAAAACCUGAACAUGUGUAUGAACUACUGGGAGAGAACCAGGAGACAGAGAGAGAUCAGAGAUGGAGGAAAAGACAAAUCAGUGUGUAG